This 39-nucleotide small RNA is filed under the name Xanthomonas euvesicatoria. RNAcentral's name for it is "sX9". The record is from RNAcentral. Lineage: Bacteria; Pseudomonadati; Pseudomonadota; Gammaproteobacteria; Lysobacterales; Lysobacteraceae.
UCCGCGCCCACCUGACAGCUGCUCGCUACGUCUUGUUAG